GGGUUGUGAGGUUAAGCGACUAAGCGUACACGGUGGAUGCCCUGGCAGUCAGAGGCGAUGAAGGACGUGCUAAUCUGCGAUAAGCGUCGGUAAGGUGAUAUGAACCGUUAUAACCGGCGAUUUCCGAAUGGGGAAACCCAGUGUGUUUCGACACACUAUCAUUAACUGAAUCCAUAGGUUAAUGAGGCGAACCGGGGGAACUGAAACAUCUAAGUACCCCGAGGAAAAGAAAUCAACCGAGAUUCCCCCAGUAGCGGCGAGCGAACGGGGAGCAGCCCAGAGCCUGAAUCAGUGUGUGUGUUAGUGGAAGCGUCUGGAAAGGCGCGCGAUACAGGGUGACAGCCCCGUACACAAAAAUGCACAUGCUGUGAGCUCGAUGAGUAGGGCGGGACACGUGGUAUCCUGUCUGAAUAUGGGGGGACCAUCCUCCAAGGCUAAAUACUCCUGACUGACCGAUAGUGAACCAGUACCGUGAGGGAAAGGCGAAAAGAACCCCGGCGAGGGGAGUGAAAAAGAACCUGAAACCGUGUACGUACAAGCAGUGGGAGCACGCUUAGGCGUGUGACUGCGUACCUUUUGUAUAAUGGGUCAGCGACUUAUAUUCUGUAGCAAGGUUAACCGAAUAGGGGAGCCGAAGGGAAACCGAGUCUUAACUGGGCGUUAAGUUGCAGGGUAUAGACCCGAAACCCGGUGAUCUAGCCAUGGGCAGGUUGAAGGUUGGGUAACACUAACUGGAGGACCGAACCGACUAAUGUUGAAAAAUUAGCGGAUGACUUGUGGCUGGGGGUGAAAGGCCAAUCAAACCGGGAGAUAGCUGGUUCUCCCCGAAAGCUAUUUAGGUAGCGCCUCGUGAAUUCAUCUCCGGGGGUAGAGCACUGUUUCGGCAAGGGGGUCAUCCCGACUUACCAACCCGAUGCAAACUGCGAAUACCGGAGAAUGUUAUCACGGGAGACACACGGCGGGUGCUAACGUCCGUCGUGAAGAGGGAAACAACCCAGACCGCCAGCUAAGGUCCCAAAGUCAUGGUUAAGUGGGAAACGAUGUGGGAAGGCCCAGACAGCCAGGAUGUUGGCUUAGAAGCAGCCAUCAUUUAAAGAAAGCGUAAUAGCUCACUGGUCGAGUCGGCCUGCGCGGAAGAUGUAACGGGGCUAAACCAUGCACCGAAGCUGCGGCAGCGACACUAUGUGUUGUUGGGUAGGGGAGCGUUCUGUAAGCCUGUGAAGGUGUGCUGUGAGGCAUGCUGGAGGUAUCAGAAGUGCGAAUGCUGACAUAAGUAACGAUAAAGCGGGUGAAAAGCCCGCUCGCCGGAAGACCAAGGGUUCCUGUCCAACGUUAAUCGGGGCAGGGUGAGUCGACCCCUAAGGCGAGGCCGAAAGGCGUAGUCGAUGGGAAACAGGUUAAUAUUCCUGUACUUGGUGUUACUGCGAAGGGGGGACGGAGAAGGCUAUGUUGGCCGGGCGACGGUUGUCCCGGUUUAAGCGUGUAGGCUGGUUUUCCAGGCAAAUCCGGAAAAUCAAGGCUGAGGCGUGAUGACGAGGCACUACGGUGCUGAAGCAACAAAUGCCCUGCUUCCAGGAAAAGCCUCUAAGCAUCAGGUAACAUCAAAUCGUACCCCAAACCGACACAGGUGGUCAGGUAGAGAAUACCAAGGCGCUUGAGAGAACUCGGGUGAAGGAACUAGGCAAAAUGGUGCCGUAACUUCGGGAGAAGGCACGCUGAUAUGUAGGUGAAGCGACUUGCUCGUGGAGCUGAAAUCAGUCGAAGAUACCAGCUGGCUGCAACUGUUUAUUAAAAACACAGCACUGUGCAAACACGAAAGUGGACGUAUACGGUGUGACGCCUGCCCGGUGCCGGAAGGUUAAUUGAUGGGGUUAGCCGCAAGGCGAAGCUCUUGAUCGAAGCCCCGGUAAACGGCGGCCGUAACUAUAACGGUCCUAAGGUAGCGAAAUUCCUUGUCGGGUAAGUUCCGACCUGCACGAAUGGCGUAAUGAUGGCCAGGCUGUCUCCACCCGAGACUCAGUGAAAUUGAACUCGCUGUGAAGAUGCAGUGUACCCGCGGCAAGACGGAAAGACCCCGUGAACCUUUACUAUAGCUUGACACUGAACAUUGAGCCUUGAUGUGUAGGAUAGGUGGGAGGCUUAGAAGUGUGGACGCCAGUCUGCAUGGAGCCGACCUUGAAAUACCACCCUUUAAUGUUUGAUGUUCUAACGUUGACCCGUAAUCCGGGUUGCGGACAGUGUCUGGUGGGUAGUUUGACUGGGGCGGUCUCCUCCUAAAGAGUAACGGAGGAGCACGAAGGUUGGCUAAUCCUGGUCGGACAUCAGGAGGUUAGUGCAAUGGCAUAAGCCAGCUUGACUGCGAGCGUGACGGCGCGAGCAGGUGCGAAAGCAGGUCAUAGUGAUCCGGUGGUUCUGAAUGGAAGGGCCAUCGCUCAACGGAUAAAAGGUACUCCGGGGAUAACAGGCUGAUACCGCCCAAGAGUUCAUAUCGACGGCGGUGUUUGGCACCUCGAUGUCGGCUCAUCACAUCCUGGGGCUGAAGUAGGUCCCAAGGGUAUGGCUGUUCGCCAUUUAAAGUGGUACGCGAGCUGGGUUUAGAACGUCGUGAGACAGUUCGGUCCCUAUCUGCCGUGGGCGCUGGAGAACUGAGGGGGGCUGCUCCUAGUACGAGAGGACCGGAGUGGACGCAUCACUGGUGUUCGGGUUGUCAUGCCAAUGGCACUGCCCGGUAGCUAAAUGCGGAAGAGAUAAGUGCUGAAAGCAUCUAAGCACGAAACUUGCCCCGAGAUGAGUUCUCCCUGACCCUUUAAGGGUCCUGAAGGAACGUUGAAGACGACGACGUUGAUAGGCCGGGUGUGUAAGCGCAGCGAUGCGUUGAGCUAACCGGUACUAAUGAACCGUGAGGCUUAACCUUACAACGCCGAAGCUGUU
Molecule: ribosomal RNA, 2931 nt
Filed under: Escherichia coli
Lineage: Bacteria; Pseudomonadati; Pseudomonadota; Gammaproteobacteria; Enterobacterales; Enterobacteriaceae
Description: 23S ribosomal RNA
Rfam family: Bacterial large subunit ribosomal RNA
Source: RNAcentral